AUCAAGAUGGCCGAGUGGUUAAGGCGCCAGACUUAAGAUUCUAAUUCAAAUUAUAGAUUAAUAGGUAAUCUUGUGAAAUCCGUUACUUGGCAUUCUGGUCUUCGAAGAAGGCGUGGGUUCGAACCCCACUCUUGACA
RNAcentral lists this transfer RNA (137 nucleotides) under Daphnia pulex (common water flea). It matches the Rfam family "tRNA". From Rfam's summary of the family: Transfer RNA (tRNA) molecules are approximately 80 nucleotides in length. Their secondary structure includes four short double-helical elements and three loops (D, anti-codon, and T loops). Lineage: Eukaryota; Metazoa; Arthropoda; Branchiopoda; Diplostraca; Daphniidae. The record is from Rfam by way of RNAcentral.